AGUGAACGCUGGCGGUAGGCCUAACACAUGCAAGUCGAACGGCAGCACAGUAAGAGCUUGCUCUUACGGGUGGCGAGUGGCGGACGGGUGAGGAAUACAUCGGAAUCUACUUUUUCUUGGGGGAUAACGUAGGGAAACUUACGCUAAUACCGCAUACGACGUACGGGUGAAAGCAGGGGAUCUUCGGACCUUGCGCGAUUGAAUGAGCCGAUGUCGGAUUAGCUAGUUGGCGGGGUAAAGGCCCACCAAGGCGACGAUCCGUAGCUGGUCUGAGAGGAUGAUCAGCCACACUGGAACUGAGACACGGUCCAGACUCCUACGGGAGGCAGCAGUGGGGAAUAUUGGACAAUGGGCGCAAGCCUGAUCCAGCCAUACCGCGUGGGUGAAGAAGGCCUUCGGGUUGUAAAGCCCUUUUGUUGGGAAAGAAAAGCAGCAGGUUAAUACCCCGCUGUUCUGACGGUACCCAAAGAAUAAGCACCGGCUAACUUCGUG
Molecule: ribosomal RNA, 492 nt
Filed under: uncultured bacterium
Lineage: Bacteria
Description: partial 16S ribosomal RNA
Rfam family: Bacterial small subunit ribosomal RNA
Source: RNAcentral